Molecule: ribosomal RNA, 407 nt
Filed under: uncultured bacterium
Lineage: Bacteria
Description: partial 16S ribosomal RNA
Rfam family: Bacterial small subunit ribosomal RNA
Source: RNAcentral
GACGAACGCUGGCGGCGUGCCUAAUACAUGCAAGUAGGACGCAGUCGCGAACGGGUGAGUAACGCGUAGGUAACUGCCUAUUAGAGGGGGAUAACUAUUGGAAACGAUAGCUAAUACCGCAUACUAGUAGAUGGACCUGCGUUGUAUGAGCUAGUAGGUAGGGUAAUGGCAUACCUAGGCGAAGAUACAUAGCCGGCCUGGGAAGGAGAUCGGCCACACUGGGACGGAGGCACGGCCCAGACUUCUUCGGGGAGGAGCAGCAGGGAAUCUUCGGCAAUUGGGGGAACCAUGGGCGAGCAACGCCGCGUGGUUGAAGAAGGUUUUCAGAUCGUAAAGCUCUGUUGUUAAGGAAGCGGUACUUAGCCAGAAAGGGACGGCUAACUACGUGCCAGCAGCCGCGGUGAUUC